AACGUAGGUCACAAGCGUUGUCCGGAAUUACUGGGUGUAAAGGGAGCGCAGGCGGGAAGACAAGUUGGAAGUGAAAUCCAUGGGCUCAACCCAUGAACUGCUUUCAAAACUGUUUUUCUUGAGUAGUGCAGAGGUAGGCGGAAUUCCCGGUGUAGCGGUGGAAUGCGUAGAUAUCGGGAGGAACACCAGUGGCGAAGGCGCCCUACUGGGCACCAACUGACGCUGAGGCUCGAAAGUGUGGGUAGCAAACAGG
This 253-nucleotide ribosomal RNA is filed under the name Faecalibacterium prausnitzii. RNAcentral's name for it is "partial 16S ribosomal RNA". It matches the Rfam family "Bacterial small subunit ribosomal RNA", at positions 524 to 776 of the family's 1533-position model. The record is from RNAcentral. Lineage: Bacteria; Bacillati; Bacillota; Clostridia; Eubacteriales; Oscillospiraceae.